UGGUUCUGGCAUCGAUGAAGAACGCAGCGAAAUGCGAUAAGUAAUGUGAAUUGCAGAAUUUAGUGAAUCAUCGAAUCUUUGAACGCACAUUGCGCCCCUUGGUAUCCCGAGGGGCAUGCCUGUCCGAGCGUCAUAUACGCCAUCUCGAGCAGUCUUGCUUGGUGUUGAGCCUGGCUAGUGCUAGCCGGCUCCAAAUCCAGAGGCGGCGCCGUAGGGUCCCGAGCGUAGUAGCAUAUACACCUCGCUGAUGGGUCCUGGCGUGCGACGACCCCAACCCCCAACUUCUUAUAGUUGACCUCGGAUCAGGUAGGAGUACCCGCUGA
RNAcentral lists this unclassified non-coding RNA (323 nucleotides) under uncultured fungus. Its description in RNAcentral is "partial contains 5.8S ribosomal RNA and internal transcribed spacer 2". The stretch from base 1 to 133 matches the Rfam family "5.8S ribosomal RNA", at positions 22 to 154 of the family's 154-position model. The record is from RNAcentral. Lineage: Eukaryota; Fungi.